Molecule: long non-coding RNA, 607 nt
Organism: Cryptomeria japonica (Japanese cedar)
Lineage: Eukaryota; Viridiplantae; Streptophyta; Pinopsida; Cupressales; Cupressaceae
Exons: 4
Source: RefSeq, a predicted model, not a curated record
UUUCAGAAACUAACCAUAUUUCUUCUUUUUGAUGUAGAGAUACAUAUUACCAGACAACAACAUACCCAUGAUUGCACUCCAUGCCGAUUACAAACAAACAUUUUCAGGCGCAUGUCACAAGCUCUGCUCAUCUCAUACAACAGAUUCCCAAGAUUGAUGCUUAACACCCUCUCCAAGACCAAAAUCAACUGGCUUUAAAACUCAGCAGGCGUUGUAAUUUAAAACAAGUUGCUCGCAUUGGCUUUAUGCUGUUGCUCAUCAAGAAGUCAAUCCGUCAUCAGCCAUUACACAUCUUGCAGCUUUCAACAGCUUUCAAAUUAUUUGAUUCUUUCAAACCUGCUAUUUUACAUCUCACAGCCCUAUCUUCUCAAAUAUUAAAAUGUUCAAGAUGACGACACCGUUACCGUAUCAUGUUUUAAAGAGUCGUUAAGAUCUACACUCCCACAGUGACUGCUUACACUUAUUGACAUUGUAACAUUCACGGUUUCUUACUUGUGUUACACUCUUCCAUCAUUGCUACAUUUAAUUCAAUGUUCACCUUUGCUGAAAUCCACUAUGUUUAACAACUGAAUUCAAUGAAUGAGCAUAACUUGUUGCUUUCUCUUCA